This 2401-nucleotide long non-coding RNA is filed under the name Pongo abelii (Sumatran orangutan). RNAcentral describes it as "lincRNA". The record is from RNAcentral. Lineage: Eukaryota; Metazoa; Chordata; Mammalia; Primates; Hominidae.
AAACUUCAUAUGCAUGGAAUGGCACAGGUGGCCUUUGCAUCUGGCUUCUUUCACGUAGUCUAAUGUUUUCAAGGCUGGUCCAUGUUGUAGCAUCUAUCAGAACUUCAUUCCUCCUUACAGCUGAUAACACUCUAUUACAUGGAUAUGGAUAUGCCACACUUGUUUAUCUUUUCCUCAGUUCAUGGACAUUUGGAUUGUCUCCACUUUUUGACUAUUACACGCUCUGAAUUACCAGCGAUUUCACUCACUCAGAAUACACAGAGACGAGGCUCCUCAUUCAGAAUCUCCCUGAACCUCAUGAUGGACUCAGCUGGACAUGGGACAACUCAAUCAUUUCCUGGAACUUGCAUUUCACUUGGAGAGGCCUGCUCUAGUGGAGGGUGCUCUUUGUGGUCUUCCAUGUACAGCUAAUUAAGAUUCUGACUGGGUUUAGGAUCAAAGAAAGCUGUCCCAUUGCAUUCCCACAUUCUUCCUUCUUGUUUCAAUGUCUUCCAAGAUCUAUUUUAAACAGGAAGUGUUGUGUACUUUUCAGGGGCCCUUUGACCUGUUCCCAGUAAAUCAAAACAGGAAGGUAGGUCUCCGCCCUUCACCUAACAGCCAGUCAGUGUGAGACCAAGGUCUGCAGAGCUGUGUCUAUGUCCAGUGCCCAACCAGGGACGUGGUAUUUCCAAAGGCUUCCCUGAGGUCGGUCUAUGGUAGUUGUUUGCUAAUCUGAAUCCAUAUUGGUGAUUAAUUUUGGAAUUCGACUCUUUGAGUGUAUAAGGGAUAGGGUACAAAGGGAAAGCAUCUCAGAGAACUUCUACAAAUAUUAGGAGUUGGUGCAAGAAGUUCACAGUGAGCUGGGAAGGAGUGGGAAGAAAUAAUAGGGCCUUGGAUCCUUUCCAAUUCCCACCCCAGUGCGCUUGGCAGCUCACAUGAUACCUUGACUUUUCCAAAUAUUGGGGAGAAAAAGCAGCCAAGGUUUUAUGUAAGAAUGAAAAGGGCCUGAAGCACUUCAAUUUCCGGGUGGCUAAACAAAAGAAGACACACACCAGGGAAAGCCCCUUAAAGUGUGUGCAGAAGAGUUGGACAAAAGAGAAGAGGCAUUUAAUCAGACAGAGAAAAAAAUAGAAAUGAUGUCAUUAUUUGGGUAUAGUAAGGUUGCCACGUAGGGGUGUUUGUAUAAAUUCCUUGGGCUUCUCCUAGUAAUGAGAUAAUGCUGUAAGGUCCCCAGUUCCUCAAAAAUUUAGCUAAAACUUGGAGCGAUACUAAUUACAAAACACAAUCGCCAUGCAGGUAAAGCUAUACAUAUCAUAAAUAAAGUCUAGUGCUUACAGGAGGAUGAGACCCUUGUUAGCAUGGGAGGGGCCUGACUUCAUAAUUUGUACACCUGAAAUGCAGGGACUGAUCUCUCUACAGGUACACAUUUGCCUCAGGGUACACUGGCCUAAUGCAGCGCUGCCCUACAAAGGCAAAUCCUCCAUCAAUAAAUAAUGAAAAACGACCCAUCAAAAAAAUGAGUCAGAGUGGGGGAGGCACAGAAAAAGUGACAAAUUGAUUCCAGACUCUUCUUUUUUAGGACAUCAUGGAAAUAGUUACUGGAUUUAUAUUGGAAAAUUCCUACCAGGGUGUGACGCCUUCAAUUGCCCUUCGUUUCCCAUGAUCUCCCCAGGAGCAGGCAGAGGGACAUCCUGGGAACCGACCAUGAGGCAGCUUGGAUCUUACUGCUGCCACUGGGCGCCGCUCCCAGGAAUGUGGGCACAGAGAGCCAAAACCUCAGAUGCACUGCAAGGUGCCCACAACCUCAUUCGUGUGCUUGGACACCUGAAAAUCCUUUACCUGGUACCUUUAAUUGAUAUAUUUCAUAUAAUCACCACUUUUAGUAAUAUCUGAGGAAUUCUACUAAAGAAAGAGGGAUGCCUGAACACUGGAGACACACAAAUGUCCGUAUUUUAUAUAAGAAAGGGCAAGGCAAUGAAUUUAGAGUUCUAGACUGCUACAUUUAAUAUGGAUACCUUGAAAAGUGAUGUUGGAAUAAUUUAUUGACAGAUUUGUUGUAUUUUAAAAGUAAUGAAGGAUGCAUCCAACCAAACAAGUUCAUUGAAUUUUUGAUGGGGCCGUGAGACCUGUAGAUCAGAAGAACACAGGCAGUGUGAUUUCCUCAAAGUGUUUGACUUGACAAAGGAGGGAGGAAUUAAAGUGUAAGGAAACAUUGAUAGUUGAUUAAACAACAGUGACCUAAAAGGUGCUGAGGAGUCCACUGCUGUUAACCUGGAGGAAAGUCCCCUGAGCCCCGGCUGGUGGGGACAGUUCAUCUACCACGCAACAGAAUCCAUAUUCAAGAUGAUUUCAAGGCCCAGAGGAAGAGACAAAAGCAAAUACAAACAAUUCAUUAAAAACAAAAGUUUUUUAAAAUGUGAAA